This 82-nucleotide transfer RNA is filed under the name bacterium. Its description in RNAcentral is "tRNA-Leu". It matches the Rfam family "tRNA". From Rfam's summary of the family: Transfer RNA (tRNA) molecules are approximately 80 nucleotides in length. Their secondary structure includes four short double-helical elements and three loops (D, anti-codon, and T loops). The record is from RNAcentral.
GCCGAGGUGGUGGAAGUGGUAGACACGUACGUUUGAGGGGCGUAUGGGGAAACCUAUGCGGGUUCAAGUCCCGCCCUCGGCA